RNAcentral lists this ribosomal RNA (421 nucleotides) under uncultured eukaryote. RNAcentral's name for it is "bacterial SSU rRNA". It matches the Rfam family "Eukaryotic small subunit ribosomal RNA", at positions 592 to 1018 of the family's 1831-position model. The record is from RNAcentral.
CAAUAGCGUAUAUUAAAGUUGUUGCGGUUAAAAAGCUCGUAGUUGGAUUUCUUCCAGGGGCAGCCGGUCCACACUACGUGUGCGUAUCUGGUUUGACUUUGGAAUCCUCUUGGGGAACGGCUCUGCGCUUAAUUGCGUGGACCGGUAUUCAAGACUUUUACUUUGAGGAAAUUAGAGUGUUCACGGCAGGCAAUCGCCCUGAAUACAUUAGCAUGGAAUAAUAAUAUAGGGCGUAAGUUCUAUCUUGUUGGUUUCUAGAACAUACGCAAUGAUUAAUAGGGACAAUUGGGGGCAUUCGUAUUAACGCGUCAGAGGUGGAAUUCUUAGAUUGCGUUACGACGAACUACUGCGAAAGCAUUUGCCAAGGAUGUUUUCAUUGAUCAAGAACGAAAGUAUGGGAUCGAAGAUGAUUAGAUACCAU